Molecule: long non-coding RNA, 456 nt
Organism: Sitodiplosis mosellana (orange wheat blossom midge)
Lineage: Eukaryota; Metazoa; Arthropoda; Insecta; Diptera; Cecidomyiidae
Exons: 3
Source: RefSeq, a predicted model, not a curated record
CUUUCAUUCGACAAUUUUUCGUGCUUGUCACUUCUAUCAUUGGCAUUAAAACGCAAUACUUUUGUGGUUGCAUACUCGAUUACUCGUUAUUUCAUUUUGUCCGAGUGAAAUGCGCUGGGUUCGCCCUUAUCAAAAUGCGCAAUUGUUUGCAGCUGAAUAAUUAUGUAUUAAACAGAUGUUUUAAGACCGGAUCGAGUUUACAAUGAUGCUCUAAUCCCUGGUAGAAUAUUCCAACUAGGCGCGCAAAUAGAUGAUCUAAUUUUAAAAAAAUGCGUCGUUCUACUUUGUAUAGGUGCGAUUCUCAUAAAUUAAUUGAAAAAAGCAUUUGUUUUUGUCAUAAUUUUCUCUUCUAAUUUGGUAAACUCCUUCUGGGCAACUUCGUCGGAUUUGUCGAACACUUGUUCAACGCUCACAACUUCUGGAAUAUAAAAUUGGAGCAUAUUUUGUACGCCAUUC